This 343-nucleotide unclassified non-coding RNA is filed under the name soil metagenome. Its description in RNAcentral is "partial contains 5.8S ribosomal RNA, internal transcribed spacer 2, and large subunit ribosomal RNA". The stretch from base 1 to 120 matches the Rfam family "5.8S ribosomal RNA", at positions 35 to 154 of the family's 154-position model. The record is from RNAcentral.
GAUGAAGAACGCAGCGAAAUGCGAUAAGUAAUGUGAAUUGCAGAAUCCAGUGAAUCAUCGAAUCUUUGAACGCACAUUGCGCCCGCCAGCAUUCUGGCGGGCAUGCCUGUUCGAGCAUCAUUUCAACCCUCGACCUCCCUUUGGGGAAGUCGGCGUUGGGGACCGGCAGCACACCGCCGGCCCUGAAAUGGAGUGGCGGCCCGUCCGCGGCGACCUCUGCGUAGUAAACCAACUCGCACCGGAACCCCGACGUGGCCACGCCGUAAAACACCCAACUUCUGAACGUUGACCUCGAAUCAGGUAGGACUACCCGCUGAACUUAAGCAUAUCAAUAAGCGGAGGA